Molecule: ribosomal RNA, 253 nt
Filed under: uncultured bacterium
Lineage: Bacteria
Description: partial 16S ribosomal RNA
Rfam family: Bacterial small subunit ribosomal RNA
Source: RNAcentral
UACGUAGGGGGCAAGCGUUGUCCGGAUUUAUUGGGUUUAAAGGGUGCGUAGGCGGAUAAUUAAGUCAGUGCUGAAAUAUCCCGGCUUAACCGGGAGGGUGGCAUUGAUACUGCGGGGCUAGAGUACAGAUGAGGUAGGCGGAAUUGACGGUGUAGCGGUGAAAUGCUUAGAUAUCGUCAAGAACACCUAUAGCGAAGGCAGCUUACUAGGCUGUAACUGACGCUGAGGCACGAAAGUGUGGGGAUCAAACAGG